UAAUACGGAGGGUGCAAGCGUUAUCCGGAAUCAUUGGGUUUAAAGGGUCCGCAGGCGGACUUAUAAGUCAGUGGUGAAAGCCCAUCGCUUAACGAUGGAACUGCCAUUGACACUGUAAGUCUUGAAUUCGGUCGAAGUGGGCGGAAUGUGACAUGUAGCGGUGAAAUGCUUAGAUAUGUCACAGAACACCGAUAGCGAAGGCAGCUCACUAGGCCUGGAUUGACGCUCAUGGACGAAAGCGUGGGAGCAAACAGGAUUAGAUACCCUGGUAGUCCACGCCGUAAACUAUGAUUACUCGUUCUCGGCGAUAUACGGUCGGGGACUAAGCGAAAGUGAUAAGUAAUCCACCUGGGGAGUACGAUCGCAAGGUUGAAACUCAAAGGAAUUGACGGGGGCCCGCACAAGCGGUGGAGCAUGUGGUUUAAUUCGAUGAUACGCGAGGAACCUUACCAGGGCUUAAAUGUAGAUGGAAUGAUGUGGAAACAUGUCAGCCUUC
RNAcentral lists this ribosomal RNA (496 nucleotides) under uncultured Wandonia sp. Its description in RNAcentral is "bacterial SSU rRNA". It matches the Rfam family "Bacterial small subunit ribosomal RNA", at positions 521 to 1019 of the family's 1533-position model. Lineage: Bacteria; Pseudomonadati; Bacteroidota; Flavobacteriia; Flavobacteriales; Crocinitomicaceae. The record is from RNAcentral.